AACGAACGCUGGCGGCAGGCUUAACACAUGCAGGUCGAGCGAGGGCUCCGGCCCUAGCGGCGGACGGGUGAGUAACGCGUGGGAACGUGCCCUUCUCUCUGGCAUAGCCCUGGGAAACCGGGAGUAAUGACGGAUACGCCCUCGGGGAAUGGGCCCCCGUGGGGAAAGAUGUAUCGGGGAAGGAUCGGGCCGCGUCGUAUUAGGUAGUCGGUGGGGUAACGGACUACCAAGCCGACGAUCCGUAGCUGGUUUGAGAGGAUGAUCAGCCACACUGGGACUGAGACACGGCCCAGACUCCUACGGGAGGCGGCGGUGGGGAAUCAUGGACAAGGGGGGCAACCCUGAUCCAGCCAGGCCGCGUGGGCGAUGAAGGCCUUGGGAUUGUAAUGCUCUUUCGGCGGAGAAGAUAGUGACGGUACCCGCAGAAGAAGCCCCGGCUAACUCCGUG
RNAcentral lists this ribosomal RNA (448 nucleotides) under uncultured bacterium. RNAcentral describes it as "partial 16S ribosomal RNA". It matches the Rfam family "Bacterial small subunit ribosomal RNA", at positions 28 to 507 of the family's 1533-position model. The record is from RNAcentral.